RNAcentral lists this ribosomal RNA (1469 nucleotides) under uncultured Bordetella sp. Its description in RNAcentral is "partial 16S-23S ribosomal RNA intergenic spacer". It matches the Rfam family "Bacterial small subunit ribosomal RNA". The record is from RNAcentral. Lineage: Bacteria; Pseudomonadati; Pseudomonadota; Betaproteobacteria; Burkholderiales; Alcaligenaceae.
GGUUCGAUUAUGGCUCAGAUUGAACGCUGGCGGGAUGCUUUACACAUGCAAGUCGAACGGCAGCACGGACUUCGGUCUGGUGGCGAGUGGCGAACGGGUGAGUAAUGUAUCGGAACGUGCCUAGUAGCGGGAGAUAACUACGCGAGCGUAGCUAAUACCGCAUACGCCCUUCGGGGGAAAGCGGGGACCUUCGGGCCUCGCACUAUUAGGAGCGGCCGAUAUCGGAUUAGCUAGUUGGUGGGUAAACGCUCACCAAGGCGACGAUCCGUAGCUGGUUUGAGAGGACGACCAGCCACACUGGGACUGAGACACGGCCCAGACUCCUACGGGAGGCAGCAGUGGGGAAUUUUGGACAAUGGGGAAACCCUGAUCCAGCCAUCCCGCGUGCGAUGAAGGCCUUCGGGUUGUAAAGCACUUUUGGCAGGAAAGAACGGCACGGGAUAAUACCCCGUGCAACUGACGGUACCUGCAGAAUAAGCAGCACCGCCAACUACGUGCCAGCAGCCGCGGUAAUACGUAGGGUAAGCGUUAAUCGGAAUUACUGGGCGUAAGCGUGCGCAGGCGGUUCGGAAAGAAAGAUGUGUGAAAUCCCAGAGCUUAACUUUGGAACUGCAUUUUUAACUACCGAGCUAGAGUGUGUCAGAGGGAGGUGGAAUUCCGCGUGUAGCAGUGAAAUGCGUAGAUAUGCGGAGGAACACCGAUGGCGAAGGCAGCCUCCUGAUAACACUGACGCUCAUGCACGAAAGCGUUAAACAGGAUUAGAUACCCAGAAUCCACGCCCUAAACGAUGUCAACUAGCUGUUGGGGCCUUCGGGCCUUGCAGCGCGUUAACGCGUGAAGUUGACCGCCUGGGAGUACGGUCGCAAGAUUAAAACUCAAAGGAAUUGACGGGGACCCGCACAAGCGGUGGAUGAUGUGGAUUAAUCUGAUGCAACGCGAAAACUCCAUCACUCCUUGACAUGUCUGGAAUCCCGAAGAGAUUUGGGAGGCUCGCAAGAGAACCGGAACACAGGUGCUGCAUGGUUGUCGUCAGCUCGUGUCGUGAGAUGUUGGGUUAAGUCCCGCAACGAGCGCAACCCUUGUCAUUAGCUGCUACGAAAGGGCACUCUAUCGAGACUGCCGGUGACAAACCGAGGAAGGUGGGGAGACGUCAAGUCCUCAUGGCCCUUAUGGGCAGGGCUUCACACGUCAUACAGUCGGCGUCGGGACAGAGGGUCGCCAACCCGCGAGGGGGAGCCAAUCCCAGAAACCCGAUCGUAGGUCCGGAUCGCAGUCUGCAACUCGACUGCGUGAAGUCGAACAAUCGCUAGUAAUCGCGGAUCAGCAUGUCGCGGUGAAUACGUUCCCGGGUCUUGCACACACCGCCCGUCACACCAUGGGAGUGGGUUUUACCAGAAGUAGUUAGCCUAACCGUAAGGAGGCGAUUACCACGGUAGAUCCAUGACUGGGGUGAAGUCGUAACAAGGUAG